AAUCAGAGUCCACAUAUGUUCGGGGGAGGGACCCCAGAAGGCGGCUGACAGUAUUCCUUUAGCCAGAAAUCCCUUCAGGGAAGAGAAAGUAUUUUCCAGAAAAUAUUUCAAGCAGAAUAUACUUAUUUUCCAGUUUUGAAAACAACUAGAUUGCCCAUCUCCAUUUCUCUCUAUCAUCUACUGUAUUAUUCUAUGGACAACUGCCACCCUAAUAAGGUCAAGAAGGGAAGCCAGAAGUCAAGGCCACAGAAGACACAGGAAACAUCAUUUCCAAAGUGGGAGACAAAGCUGUUAACAGGAAAUUAUUUGUAAAGUCAAGAGCCAAGCAAAACAGAAAAAGGACAAGAAAUCUAUCACCUGUGGGUAUGAAUGGUUCUAGGGAAGUCUGUUGACAAUUGGAGGGUCUCAAAGGCGCUUUAUGGUACUUAUUUUAUGACCCUGAGUCUGGAGUCUGAUGAAUUAAAGAGGAAAUUCUGCUCUGGGCAACAUUUAAGAGAUAGUAUCUCCAGGCAGUAACUUUCGUAUUAACUCUCAUAAGAUUGAUGCCAUUCUGUCAUCUAAAGUGUGGACAAAAGUAGCAUUAAAGCAAAAUGAAAGGAUAUACUAA
Molecule: long non-coding RNA, 607 nt
Filed under: Homo sapiens (human)
Lineage: Eukaryota; Metazoa; Chordata; Mammalia; Primates; Hominidae
Description: MIR4307 host gene
Source: RNAcentral